Molecule: small nucleolar RNA, 108 nt
Filed under: Ustilaginoidea virens
Lineage: Eukaryota; Fungi; Ascomycota; Sordariomycetes; Hypocreales; Clavicipitaceae
Description: A. fumigatus snoRNA Afu_304
Rfam family: A. fumigatus snoRNA Afu_304
Source: Rfam by way of RNAcentral
UCUUGUGAUGACAAAAGGCUUUUUGGCCUGAAUCUAAUCCCAGCUCGUCGAAUGCCUCACCAAAACAACGCUUAGAGUGCAUUAUGUGAUAGACUAUAUUCUGAUAGA